Ictidomys tridecemlineatus (thirteen-lined ground squirrel) is the source of this 3993-nucleotide non-coding RNA. NCBI's taxonomy places the organism in Eukaryota, Metazoa, Chordata, Mammalia, Rodentia, Sciuridae. The record is from RefSeq and is a predicted model, not a curated record.
AUCCGCCGCCCUCCCCUCCGCCCAAAGACAGACAGGCAUGCCCGCCCUUGGAGGAAAAGACGAGGGAGAAACGGACCAAGGAGACAUUUUUUUUUUUAAGUCCAAGGAAGGAGGGACCAAAAAAAAAAAAUGAAAAAAAAACAUAAUAAAUACCCAGACUGUUUUAUAUACACACAUAACAAGCAAAACCUGAAGAGGAAAAGGCAACCGUGAGAUCCCGUCUGUGCUGUGGUGGUGUUUUGUUUUUUUAUUUUAAAGAAGGGUGACUUUACCUACAGCACCAAAACUGCGCUCUUAAGGUGUACCCACCCUGAGAUGUCCUACCUGGCAGCGGUGGACAGCACCUGCCUCGGCCUCCUCUCUUAUAAAAGAGAGAGAAAGAGCCCCCCUCUUUCUUCCACUUCCUCCCAAAGGGCUGCCUAAGAGCUGCGCGGAAACUUUCCCUCCUCCUCCAAGGGACCUGAGAGCCAGCACCUGAUCUCCUCGGGGUCUUACUCUGUGCUCCAGGACCCUGUUUUUCUUGGCCAUUUUAAAGUCGUUUGGGAAGAGGCAACUCGGCGUUGAAAUGGGAAGGAGGGGGAAAAACAGGCAAAGACAAAUUCACAGCUUCUGAAAUUAACAGACUGAAUAGCAAAGCCAAAAGAAAGUAUCCUCAAAGUAACCUUGGAAAUAAAAGCAACGCGAAAGAGCCGAGGAUGGGCGAGGGAGAUCCGGACGUCCAGCCGCAAGUGGCCAGAGGCCCGGGGCUGGCUGAGUCCAGCGCGGUUGGGCUGACAGGGAGCGGAGGCCCAGCCUGCGAGGCUGCCCAGUGAGGCCCAGCCACCACCGACCCCGGCUUUGCCGGCAGCCGUUGGGGUGGACCAUCAUGCCUAAAGAUUCCACCGCUAAUAUUUUUUUUAUUAAUAUUUUUUAUUUUUUAUUUCUGGACUGACUCAGAUAAAGGGAUUUAGAAAGACUGAGCACCAGCCGCUGCACUUCUCUUGACUUCUGUCCUCAAUCCGUUGCCAACUUUGAUUGAAUGGGUGCUGUGGAUGUGAUUAUAUAAUACUGCCAUUUCCAAGCAGUGUUUUUGGUAGGUUUUAAUAAACAGACUUUUCAAAAGACGGCAAUAUAGAAUUGUUAGAUCCGUUGUUGAUCUAAAAAUAUUUGCUUUAUAUUUUCAUUAAAUGACUUCUUUUAAUAUUUUAUUCAGAAUACUUAUGAACUGCUGCAAAACGGUAAUUUAUUUUUCCCCAGAUCUUGUAUUACCUGUUUUUUUCAGACGAGCACAAAUCAAAAUGAAAUGAAAAUAUGGACAGUUGUUAGGUAAUAAGGGUAUCUUUUGAUGUGAUCAUUUGAUUGUAAUUUAAUUUGAGUAGUGAUUCCGUAAGAGCUGAUCGAGAAAAUAAAUUUGUUAGAAUGAAAUAGUCUGUGUCUGAUGCGUAAACACUGAGUUCUCUAGAUUUUUUUUUUUUUUUUUUUACUUAUACAAAUCCUUAAGUAAUAGUGUUAAGGAAAUAGCGCCUGUUCCACUUAAGGCAAGUUUGGAAAUUAAGAGUAAAGGCAUUACUGAAACAGCUGGCAUUUUAACAUAGUGGUCAUUCCUUGUUAAUCUAUAAAUUUCACAAUAUUUUUCUCUCCCUUAAUUUUACUGGGUGUCUUUAUUGUUUUUUAGGUGAGAUUAUCUGUAAAUGCUAGAGCCCUUUUCUUGAAGUUACCUGUGUUCUUUAUUGAAUGAUUGGACUAUAUCACCAGUAAAAACGUGCCAACUGGUCAUUAAUGGUUAAUAUAGCCCUCCUGAGUUCAGUCUUUCCUUUUUCUUUCUACCCCCAACAUAUUAAAUCUCUUCUCUUUUUCUGAAGACUAAUAGUUGUAAAGAAUAGCUUAUAAAUCUAUAAAAUAUUUUGAUAUCAAUUCCCAUCACUAUAUGUAAUUACAUUUAAAUUAUUGAGUUUUCCUGUUGUUUGAGGGUUGUUGUUUCUUUUGCUUUUGGGUUUUUUUUUUUUUUUUUCAUGUCAUGAAAGAAUAUAGUUUUCCCAAUUCCUGCUUUUGGUCCAUACUGCAGACCAUCUUUGUGUUAGUAGCUCAGACUUCUGUGAUUCAGUCUUUCCCCAGUGUGACUUCUUGUCUUCUUCACUGGUGCUGGGAUUUAGCUUUUGGGGUCACUUUUUAGGUAAACCCUGCAGAGUGAUCACAUCAAGUUAGUGUAUCAAUAUUUAUAGUGUGGGAAAAUGAAAGUAAUGCCUUAGGUUGUGGGUACUAAAGAUGCAGAGGCUCUACUGGGUUUACUCCCUAUGUAUUGGAGUUUGUUUGUUUGUUUAAGUACUCAAGGGUGAGAAAGCAAUGAUUUUAUAGACCAGUUUCCCUUCAUCUCACUUAACUGUCACUCACUCUUUGCCUACUUCUCUCAUCUUCACUCCCUCUGCCUGUGAUAUCAUGGAUGUAGGGGUUAAAAAAUCCCGGAAAACUGUGAGAGAAACAAGGAACAGUUAUUUCUCUUAGACAGGCCCCUGGGUCACUUUCAUCAAUCAAGCCCAGCCAGAUGGCCAUGUAUUGGGUGGCAUUAUUUUAAACACCAAAUCGUACUAAAAAUCACAAUCAUUUUGAUUUGUGAAAUCUGAAAAAGGCCAUAUUUAUUGAACAGAGAAUAGAAAAAAAAAAAUGAAGACAGGGAACUACAAUUUACUUUUCUUUGCCUCCCUGUCUCAUUUCUCUUGCUAUUGUAAUGGCCCAGCCCAGGGAAUCUGCAACCUGGAGUGGCGGUGGGGUGAAGUUCAUCAUUUUUUUGAGGGUCUGGAGGGGUGAGCAAAGAAGGCCUCACUGGAAAGCUGAGAAUUGGGCAGGUCGUUUGCAUGUGGUGUGCACUCCUGGCACAUCAGAUGGAAUCCUGUUUUUUUUUCUUUUUCUUUUUUUUUUUUUUUUUUCUGCUGGGAUAGUGGUGCUUGAUUAGACAGGGAGUGGGUCUAUUUAAAUUUUUAGGAGGUAUCUUCUUACUUGAUUUAGCUGACAACAAAACAGCUAACAUUAGAUUUCACACUGUUUUCUAUUAAAAAGCAACCUUUGCUGAUUACUUUGGAAGAAGCCCUGAUUUGGGGGUAGCAGAGUAACUUUUAAUUGGAGAAGCUGGGCAAGCAAGUCCAUUUAGUUUCAUUAUUUUGCAUUUUAUAAAGUGAGCUAAUGCUUGGACUCUGUUGCAUUUUUUUUUCUUAAUCAACCUUUGAAUGUAUUUAUAAAAUGAAAUUCAUGGUUGAAACUCAAAAGAGGGGAGAUGUAACUGAGGUUUUGUGCUAAGGCUUAUAUUGUUACACAUGUAAAUAAUGAAAAUAUUGUUAUAUAUCACCAGAUCUUUUUAAUGAAUUUGGUCAUUGUGUUCCUUUGCAGCGCAAGUGUCUUGUGCUUCGUAAAAGUGCCCAUUUGUUUCCUCCAUUUCAAUCCAUCCCCCACCUCCCCUUCCAACCCAAAGGAAAGUGACAAAGUUCUGUCCCAUCAGACUGGCUAAUCCCAAACUAGGCCCAUUUAUAGUUUACAGUACCCUGUGGCUCUUGAUCAGUUGUCCAAGCUGUGGUCAUCUCAUUCACCCAACCAUCUUCUCCUGGCAAUCUGUGUGAUAAAUCAUUCAAGGUGUGUUUUAAAAUAGUCACUUUGCUCUUGUUGCCCUACCUUUUUUUCUUAGUACUUAGCCAAGGACUGUAUUUCUUUGUUCCAAAAUAGAAUUGUCCAUUAUGGAUCUUAGAGAUUCCCUCCGCUUCCCUGUAGUCUCCAGUGUUUGCUCAUUACUAUGCUCAUAAUCUGUUUUGUAUGAAUGGUUUUCAACAUUCAGAGAAAAUUGGUUCUAAUAUCAAAUGCAGUAUAUAUUAUUGAUAGUUUUAUCGAUAAGUGUAAUAUUUUAAAUAAUUUUAACAAUUAAAUUUGUUUUUUAAAUUAUAUAUUUGUAAAGUAUUUAUCCUGUUGGAAGCAACAAUAUAUUGUUGUAUUUAUUCGUUUAUUUUUGUAAUAAAUGAUCAACCUCUUCAA